AGGUGUGGAUUAAAACUUUAUAUAAAAAUUAAAGUUCAACUUGAAUUAACAAACAAUAAUGGGAGAUUCAUAGGUGUAGCAGCGCUGGACUUUCUCUGCCCCCGGUGGAGCAGCUUAUCUGACUGGCAGUCAGAGUUAUGUACAAGGACCUACAUUGUAUAGGAGGCUUGGAGGAAGAGUGGACGUCAGAUGCAUCCCAGGAGUUUAACUUAAAACCUGCCUUGGGGGAAAGGCUGGAAGAG
Balaenoptera acutorostrata (minke whale) is the source of this 242-nucleotide long non-coding RNA. RefSeq lists it as uncharacterized. The transcript has 3 exons. Lineage: Eukaryota; Metazoa; Chordata; Mammalia; Artiodactyla; Balaenopteridae. The record is from RefSeq and is a predicted model, not a curated record.